Molecule: long non-coding RNA, 1678 nt
Filed under: Chlamydomonas reinhardtii
Lineage: Eukaryota; Viridiplantae; Chlorophyta; Chlorophyceae; Chlamydomonadales; Chlamydomonadaceae
Description: long non-coding RNA (CREI_LNC000106)
Source: RNAcentral
UCAUAAAGCUCUCAGCUGGUGUAUACGGCUGUCAGAGGCUGGGCUGGCGUAGACUGGCCGCAGACUACCAAGCGGAGGCCGUGGGCCACAAGCUUGAGCGGCUAGGGCAUGUUUCCAGGCCAGCUAAAUGCAACGGCUAGGUCUGCUAAUUGCGGCGCAGGUGUUGCCCGCCCCCGCUCCCUCGUACCUGGCCGCACCAGUGCACCACGCAUCUCUGCACUUGCUUGCUAAGGCCUGCCACGCAAGCAUGCCACGCCGGACCACGCACGCCUUGACCAUCGCACGGACCGGACACACCCCGUCAAUGCCUCAACCGUCAAGCUUGGCAGCACAAUGCAUGGUUACUACCGUACCCUUAAUCGAACACAAUUAACACAAUCAACGCACCGACACUAGCUCGGCCUCACUUCCUGGCUUCCCUCUCCCUAUCCGCCAGUCUACUUCCUAUCUUGCCUCCCUCCUCCGCAUUGCCCGCCCCACCGCCCAGACCAUGUUUGCCCCAACUCGCCCAAGUGCUUGGCCAUGGCCGGCUUAUGCCGCCAGGGCUUGCCCGCCAAUCUCUGCACUCUGCACAUGUGUCUCCGGACGGUGCAGGAGUGUGGAAAGCGGCAAAGUGCGCAACACGGCCAACCGCGGCCAUGUCCCACCGGAAGUGCCUAGACCCGCUGGCCGCCAUACUGCACCGGGGUGAGCAUAUGGAGCAAUGAUACAGUGAUACAUCCACAACACCGGUAGCCGCACAGCAUGUUGUUUCCCUGGUUUGGGUGUUUGGCCCGAUUACUGCGUGCCAUGUCGCUGUGUGGAAGAGCUGCCUUUUCAAACAGCCAAUUGACUAAGUAUUACCUCAAGUGGAUGUGUUUCCGCCAGUCCUAUCGGCGCCCAGAAAGCUCUGGGCAAGCAGCUUGAGACACCUCACCACGUGCACUUUUUGCCCCAUUCCGCUCCAUGCUCGGCAUAGGAGUUUCUAUUGGCGGGUCCCUGCGCAACAGGUCGGCGUGCCAGUGAGACUGUCGUACUUUCAUGAUGCACUGCGCAGUGUGCGUGCGAUGGGACCUUGCUGUGCACCAGCUGUCGUUCCAGGCCCCCGCUUGCACCUAAGGACUUAUGCAAGCGUGCAAACACACGACGCGCAUACCCCACCAGGUAAACCAACCUCCAACUCCAGCUAUUUCGUUGCACGGCCCAGAAUCCAUUCCAAUCAUCAUCCCCGCGUGGUCUCGCCCACCACCCAGUGAAGCGCAAGAAGCGGAGGUUGCAAGCAGGCGACACCCUCCCCUGGUCAGCCCCGAAUAGGUGAUGCCCCCCGCCCCCAAGCCGCCUUUGAUACGUCCCAUCUAUCACUUAUACAUGCUUGAGCGCCCUGCCAGUACGGCGGCCGGCGGCCUCGCCCACAUCGACUCCAUCCGCCGUGGCUCCACGGCACGUGCACCGUGACAAGGAAGCGCGCCGCAGCCGACGACCAGGGCAUUUCACGUUGGAAUAAACGCAGCCCUACGCCUGUGACCAUGGAGCCCCCAAGUCAAGCAGGCAGCGAGGUCCGCACGGAUGUUGCGCGUGGAAAUUUCGAGAACAAGAAGGUUUCCAGUCUUUCCGACUCCCGCCUGUUGACAGGCAAUGCACAUGUCAAGCGUUGUAAACACAUGCGCCAACUAUAUGGCCUGGCCACCCCGAAAUUUUC